UACGUAGGGGGCGAGCGUUGUCCGGAUUUAUUGGGCGUAAAGAGCGUGUAGGCGGCCAGGUAGGUCUGCUGUGAAAACUCGAGGCUCAACCUCGAGCUGUCGGUGGAAACCGUGUGGCUAGAGUCCGGAAGAGGAGAGUGGAAUUCCCGGUGUAGCGGUGAAAUGCGCAGAUAUCGGGAAGAACACCCGUGGCGAAGGCGGCUCUCUGGGACGGUACUGACGCUGAGACGCGAAAGCGUGGGGAGCGAACAGG
RNAcentral lists this ribosomal RNA (253 nucleotides) under uncultured bacterium. RNAcentral describes it as "partial 16S ribosomal RNA". It matches the Rfam family "Bacterial small subunit ribosomal RNA", at positions 524 to 776 of the family's 1533-position model. The record is from RNAcentral.